CAAACGACUCUCGGCAACGGAUAUCUCGGCUCUCGCAUCGAUGAAGAACGUAGCGAAAUGCGAUACUUGGUGUGAAUUGCAGAAUCCCGUGAACCAUCGAGUCUUUGAACGCAAGUUGCGCCCGAAGCCGUUAGGCCAAGGGCACGUCUGCCUGGGCGUCACG
Molecule: ribosomal RNA, 163 nt
Filed under: Neolamarckia cadamba
Lineage: Eukaryota; Viridiplantae; Streptophyta; Magnoliopsida; Gentianales; Rubiaceae
Also listed under: 1 other name
Description: 5.8S ribosomal RNA
Rfam family: 5.8S ribosomal RNA
About the family: 5.8S ribosomal RNA (5.8S rRNA) is a component of the large subunit of the eukaryotic ribosome. It is transcribed by RNA polymerase I as part of the 45S precursor that also contains 18S and 28S rRNA.
Source: RNAcentral